This 587-nucleotide ribosomal RNA is filed under the name uncultured bacterium. Its description in RNAcentral is "bacterial SSU rRNA". It matches the Rfam family "Bacterial small subunit ribosomal RNA", at positions 338 to 916 of the family's 1533-position model. The record is from RNAcentral.
CCUACGGGAGGCAGCAGUAGGGAAUCUUCCGCAAUGGACGAAAGUCUGACGGAGCAACGCCGCGUGAACGAUGAAGGCCUUCGGGUCGUAAAGUUCUGUUGUUAGGGAAGAACAAGUGCUAGUUAAAUAAGCUGGCACCUUGACGGUACCUAACCAGAAAGCCACGGCUAACUACGUGCCAGCAGCCGCGGUAAUACGUAGGUGGCAAGCGUUGUCCGGAAUUAUUGGGCGUAAAGCGCGCGCAGGCGGUUUCUUAAGUCUGAUGUGAAAGCCCCCGGCUCAACCGGGGAGGGUCAUUGGAAACUGGGAAACUUGAGUGCAGAAGAGGAAAGUGGAAUUCCAAGUGUAGCGGUGAAAUGCGUAGAGAUUUGGAGGAACACCAGUGGCGAAGGCGACUUUCUGGUCUGUAACUGACGCUGAGGCGCGAAAGCGUGGGGAGCAAACAGGAUUAGAUACCCUGGUAGUCCACGCUGUAAACGAUGAGUGCUAAGUGUUAGAGGGUUUCCGCCCUUUAGUGCUGAAGUUAACGCAUUAAGCACUCCGCCUGGGGAUACGGCCGCAAGACUGAAACUCAAAGGAAUUGACGG